Molecule: ribosomal RNA, 253 nt
Filed under: uncultured bacterium
Lineage: Bacteria
Description: partial 16S ribosomal RNA
Rfam family: Bacterial small subunit ribosomal RNA
Source: RNAcentral
UACAGAGGGUGCGAGCGUUAAUCGGAAUUACUGGGCGUAAAGCGCACGUAGGUGGCUUAGUAAGUCGGAUGUGAAAUCCCCGGGCUUAACCUGGGAACUGCAUUCGAAACUGCUUUGCUAGAGUAUGGGAGAGGGCAGUGGAAUUUCAGGUGUAGCGGUGAAAUGCGUAGAUAUCUGAAGGAACAUCAGUGGCGAAAGCGACUGCCUGGACCAAUACUGACGCUCAUGUGCGAAAGCGUGGGGAGCAAACAGG